GUGGCAAAAUCUGGGUAAGGUCACUUGAAUGAAUUUAGCUCUUUCAUCUCUUUAACUAUACAGAAAAUUUUAACGAAAUCUUAAUCAACACAUCAUGGGCUUCAAAAGGGUGUCUCAGAUUGUCUCUAUGGUAUUCUAUUCUCUCAUAAAUCUCCAAUUAGUGAAACAUCCUAACCACAUAAAAGAAGAUAAUGUUUAAUAAGGUGUAAAAUUUGUUCUAUACAUUCUAUCUGAAAUCUGAGACACCCUUUUGUAGAUAAUGGCCAUAGGAACAACAUAUUCUAAAAUCAAGCCUCUAGGGAUACCUAUGCAGAAG
This 316-nucleotide long non-coding RNA is filed under the name Mytilus galloprovincialis (Mediterranean mussel). The record is from RNAcentral. Lineage: Eukaryota; Metazoa; Mollusca; Bivalvia; Mytilida; Mytilidae.